UACGAAGGGGGCUAGCGUUGCUCGGAAUGACUGGGCGUAAAGGGCGCGUAGGCGGUUUGCCCAGUCAGAUGUGAAAUUCCCGGGCUUAACCUGGGGGCUGCAUUUGAUACGUGUGGGCUUGAGUGAGGAAGAGGGUUGUGGAAUUCCCAGUGUAGAGGUGAAAUUCGUAGAUAUUGGGAAGAACACCGGUGGCGAGGGCGGCUCACUGGCUCGUAACUGACGCUCAUGCACGACAGCGUGGGGAUCAAACAGG
RNAcentral lists this ribosomal RNA (253 nucleotides) under uncultured bacterium. RNAcentral describes it as "partial 16S ribosomal RNA". It matches the Rfam family "Bacterial small subunit ribosomal RNA", at positions 524 to 776 of the family's 1533-position model. The record is from RNAcentral.